UGGCCCAGGGCGGAGCGAACUGAUUACAAGCUUGCUUCUAUGACGUUAGCGGCGGACGGGUGAGUAACACGUGGGCAACCUGCCUGUAAGACUGGGAUAACUUCGGGAAACCGAAGCUAAUACCGGAUAGGAUCUUCUCCUUCAUGGGAGAUGAUUGAAAGAUGGUUUCGGCUAUCACUUACAGAUGGGCCCGCGGUGCAUUAGCUAGUUGGUGAGGUAACGGCUCACCAAGGCAACGAUGCAUAGCCGACCUGAGAGGGUGAUCGGCCACACUGGGACUGAGACACGGCCCAGACUCCUACGGGAGGCAGCAGUAGGGAAUCUUCCGCAAUGGACGAAAGUCUGACGGAGCAACGCCGCGUGAGUGAUGAAGGCUUUCGGGUCGUAAAACUCUGUUGUUAGGGAAGAACAAGUACGAGAGUAACUGCUCGUACCUUGACGGUACCUAACCAGAAAGCCACGGCUAACUACGUGCCAGCAGCCGCGGUAAUACGUAGGUGGCAAGCGUUAUCCGGAAUUAUUGGGCGUAAAGCGCGCGCAGGCGGUUUCUUAAGUCUGAUGUGAAAGCCCACGGCUCAACCGUGGAGGGUCAUUGGAAACUGGGGAACUUGAGUGCAGAAGAGAAAAGCGGAAUUCCACGUGUAGCGGUGAAAUGCGUAGAGAUGUGGAGGAACACCAGUGGCGAAGGCGGCUUUUUGGUCUGUAACUGACGCUGAGGCGCGAAAGCGUGGGGAGCAAACAGGAUUAGAUACCCUGGUAGUCCACGCCGUAUACGAUGAGUGCUAAGUGUUAGAGGGUUUCCGCCCCUUUAGUGCUGCAGCUAACGCAUUAAGCACUCCGCCCUGGGGGAGUACGGUCGCAAGAACUGAAACUCAUAGGGAAUUGACGGGGGCCCGCACAAUCGGUGGGAGGAUGUGGUUUUCUUCUAAAGCAACUUCUAAGAUCCUUUCCAGGUUUUGACAUCC
This 965-nucleotide ribosomal RNA is filed under the name Priestia aryabhattai. RNAcentral describes it as "bacterial SSU rRNA". It matches the Rfam family "Bacterial small subunit ribosomal RNA", at positions 59 to 989 of the family's 1533-position model. The record is from RNAcentral. Lineage: Bacteria; Bacillati; Bacillota; Bacilli; Caryophanales; Bacillaceae.